This 1598-nucleotide long non-coding RNA is filed under the name Oncorhynchus kisutch (coho salmon). Its description in RNAcentral is "lncRNA (ENSOKIG00005029964.1)". Lineage: Eukaryota; Metazoa; Chordata; Actinopteri; Salmoniformes; Salmonidae. The record is from RNAcentral.
GUUCGACAGCACAUUAGCCGCGGCUACUCUCCACCUUGAGAUGAUGGGCAGCCUGCCAGGUAGAGGUUGCCAUGACUCCUAACGCCACCCCUUCCCUCUGCACUCCCUGCCCCCUUGAAUGUGCCAAAUAUUCGGGCAGGCUGGGCUGGCUAAGGUUUUGAUUUAGACAAAAGAUGUCUUAACAAUGUCAGUAGAAUGCUUUAUGGGAAUGCUGUGGCUUUCUGGUAGGAAAUCAUGUGACCUCCUCGGCCAAGGUUUUGUUAUGGUGCCAGGAGGGAGAGAACGAGAGAGGGAGUGAAGGGGGAAACUUGGAAUGCGAUGCCAGCAAAGGGUUUUAUUCUUUCUUUUUGGGGCUUUCUUUCAUUCUUGUGUUUGCUGAGAAAAUGGCGGACGGUGUGGAGCUGAAAUGAACCCGACUUGCCAAUGGAGCUGGGCACAACAACACAACUCAACUCUAGUAUUUUUAAAUCAAAUUUUUUGCAUGGCACCCAUGUCUCAUAGCUUUUUGAUUCCUGAUAAAUCCUGCUUCCUAUCUGUCUGUCUCCGGCUGGGUACAAAAGAGAGGUCUGAACAAUCCAAAUCAAGUAGAGAUGAUGAAUGUCAAAUGGUUAGUAGAGAUCUGGAGUGAGAAAUGACCAUGGGUGACUCCUUACCCUGAAAGGCACACGAUCAACAAGACCGAAGAGGAGGAGGUGGUAGCGGAGGUGUAGGGGAGGGGGUGGCAGAAGGGAGGCUGUUCCUCAGACGGCACAGAGCGCUCUCUUCUCGUCUCCCCACAUCAUUGGUAUGCAGUGACUGUUCCCCAGGCGACAGGGCCACUGGGUUGGGGCUAAACUGACUGCAGGAGAGUCAGGUCUACAAAGUAAAUGAGAGGAGAGCAAGAUAGCAGGUAAGGGUAAUGAGAACAGGCAGAGAGAGGGAGGGAGGAGGACAAGAGAAAGGCGGAAGGGAAGCUAGAUGUCCCAAGGGGCUUUGGGGGUGAGGCACCGCCUGACCCCUCACACUCCGUUCACUGUCCAGGCCCACACACAUACACACACACAUAUUAAUGCUUAAACUCCCGACCAGAUACAUUAUGUUCAAGUGCACAUCAUGUAUCCAAAAAACAACAUAUCAGUUAGGCUAACGAUUUUUUUUGCAAGAGCUUUUAUGACUAUAUAGUGAUAAUGUAAUGUUUCUUGAGAUGUGUGCAUAUGAUUUCCUCAAAUAUUUGUAUUUUAUUAUGUUAUUCCAUAAAACAUGAAUCUUUAAACAGUAUAUUUGAAUAUAUUUGUAAAGAAAGCAAAUGAUGGAAUGCAAAUAGUGCAAAAUGUCAUUACAAAUAAAAAGAAAGUGUGAAAAUAAACGGAUGAAUAUUACACAUCUGUCUUUUAUUUCUAGGGAUCCCUACAACCUACAGGAUAAGUUAAACCCAGGUGAUAUAUAAGAAACCCCACAUAGUGUUGUAACAAUUUGAUUUCCACUUCUCUAGUAAAGUUUUUAUUCCCUGCUCAUGAAUUGGUUGAGUAGGCAUUGGUUGGUGGAGGUGAAUUAGCAACAAAUAUCCUAGGUUCACUGUGUGUAUAUAUAUAUAUAUAUAUAUAUAUAUAUAUAUAUAU